GAUGAACGCUGGCGGCGUGCUUAACACAUGCAAGUCGAACGGAAAGGCCCUGCUUUUGCGGGGUGCUCGAGUGGCGAACGGGUGAGUAACACGUGUGUAUCCCGCCCCUGACUUUCGGAUAACUUUACGAAACUGGGGCUAAUACCGGAUAGGAGCUCCUGCAGCAUGGUGGUGGUUGGAAAGUUUCGGCGGUUGUGGCUAUACUCGCGGCUUAUCAGCUUGUUGGUGGGGUAGUUGCUUACAAAGGCUUCGACGGCUAGCCCACAUGGGAGGGUGGACGGCGACAAUAGGACUAAGGUACGGAGCAGUCUGCUACGUGAGGCAGCAGUGGGGAGUCUUGCGCAGUGAGGGGACGUGUGAGACGGAGACGCCGGGAGCGGGAAGACGGCCUUCGGGGUGUGAACCGCUGUCGCCUGAGACGAGGCGGUAGUGACGGUACUGGAUAAAGAAGCACCGGCUAACUACGUG
RNAcentral lists this ribosomal RNA (468 nucleotides) under uncultured bacterium. RNAcentral's name for it is "partial 16S ribosomal RNA". It matches the Rfam family "Bacterial small subunit ribosomal RNA", at positions 28 to 507 of the family's 1533-position model. The record is from RNAcentral.